UCGUAUUUUGCAGUGAGCCAGUGAAACAGCAUUUUAAUCAGACGUCUUGACCCAUGCUCUUCUGUUUUCCUUUGCAGCCUUGCAAGCUAUUUGGCAUAUGAAGGUCCUGACCUGAGAAAACCAUCUUGGAUAACCGUGGCAAGGAGAACGAAAAAUGCAACAGCUAGGAGAUUUCGAGCAGCAAAGCAAAGCCUGGGAACCAGGCCAAAUGCCUGCCACUUACCUUAAAUUGAUCAGCUACUUUGAGAUUAAAACCCCUGAGAGCUGCCACACCGUGAAAACAAGGCCUCCUUCACAUUAAAGGCAAAUUGCGACUUUG
Long non-coding RNA from Bubalus bubalis (water buffalo), 319 nucleotides. RefSeq lists it as uncharacterized. The transcript is spliced from 2 exons. The record is from RefSeq and is a predicted model, not a curated record. NCBI's taxonomy places the organism in Eukaryota, Metazoa, Chordata, Mammalia, Artiodactyla, Bovidae.